UCUCUGCUUUGCUUCGUCUACCAGACGCCAUGCCAUACCAUGAGAAAAUGGUCCAAGUAGAACAUAUUAUUGAUGUCUUGGAACUUAGACAAUGUCUAAAUACUAGAAUUGGAGAUGAGAUGAAGCGAGGGUUAUCUAAAGGGGAGAAGAAACGAACAAGUAUUGCGUGUGAGCUACUUACAAAUCCAACUACCAUGCUACUGGAUGAGCCAACAUCGGGCCUUGACUCCGGUGCUGCUCUCUCUCUCAUGUCUAUUUUGAAGAACUGUGCACGAAAAGAACAUAAAUCUGUUGUUGUUACAGUCCACCAGCCGUCCAGCCAGAUUUUCCACAUGUUUGAUCGUCUGCUUUUAUUAACUGACGGACAAGUCGCUUUCUUUGGACCUACACGAGGGAUUUUCGAGUUUUUCUGUGAAGUUGGCUUACACAUGACUCCACAUUAUAACCCUGCGGAUUUUAUCAUUGAACAAGUAAGGAAAAACCCAGAAAUACGAGACAAGCUUAUAAAAGCUGCCCCAAACUUCAGUGAGCUGAAAGAAGUUUGUGGUACUAUUGAAAGAAUUUCCUCUAUAUCUGGACUGUCUCAUUUGACAGAUCCUACAGAGGAUAUUGGAGAUUCUGGAGUAUCUUCUUCGUCCGACGCUUACAGCUCUGUUUUUAGCAGCGAAGUUUACCUUCCUGAAGAGGUUGAGAAGUGGCCCACGUGUUUCUGGACUCAACUAAAAGUGUUAUCUCGAAGAAAGUUUCAAGAAGCUCAUGGUCGAAUGCUCUCUAGCCUGAACUGGAUACAAACCAUUGGAUUAGGACUCGUGAGUGGACUUCUGUGGUUUCAAAUGGAAAGAACAGAAACUAACCUCUCUGAUAUUCAAGGAUGGAUGUUCUUCAGUAUCACCUAUUGGAUGCUAUUUGCGCUAUUUGGAGCACUUACUUCAUUUCCACUUGAAAGGGAAGUGGUCAACAAAGAAAGGGAGUCGGGUACCUAUAGACUGUCGGCUUACUGCUUGGCUAAAAUGAUUGGAGAAUUUCCUCUCACUGUUACUCUCCCAUCAGUGUUCCAUUUCAUCUCCUAUUCGAUGUUAGGGUUACAUGAUCCUCAGACCUUCCUGUGCCUGUGGGGAUUUCUUUUUCUAAAUACUGUAGUUGCUCAGAGCGCAGGGAUCCUUGUGGGAGCGCUGUGUGUUGAUCUUGAAGUGUCAGUAACUGUAUCGGCUCUGUAUUCCUUAUCAACGAUGCUGUUUGGUGGUUUUUACGCAAAGUCUAUCCCUUCCUGGCUACUGUGGUUGAAGUAUUUCUCCAUGGUUCAUUAUGCCGUUAAUAACAUGCAGAUUAUAGAGUUUGGUGGUAGUUCGCCUAUACGUUGCGCACCUCAAAAUUCGCAGUUCGAGCUAUGUCGCCAUGGAAACAAUUCAGUUAUUCCAGUUGAAGUCAUCAUUGAACAUCAAGGAAUGGUGCUCCCUCUGUGGGCAAACACUUUAAACAACGAGACUACAUGAGUGCAUCACUAUUCAACAAUAUACAGAUAGAACCAGUCAACCAAGAAAUCUCAUAUAUUUAUAUCCUAGCAAUGGAUAAAAUGAUAUAGAAGCUGUUUUCUGACUAGAACUCACCGCUCUCCCAUGCAGCAAGUCCCACACGCUUUGAAAGGAU
Molecule: unclassified non-coding RNA, 1647 nt
Filed under: Limulus polyphemus (Atlantic horseshoe crab)
Lineage: Eukaryota; Metazoa; Arthropoda; Merostomata; Xiphosura; Limulidae
Description: aBC transporter G family member 21-like, transcript variant X2
Source: RNAcentral